This is a long non-coding RNA of Hevea brasiliensis (rubber tree), 345 nucleotides long. RefSeq lists it as uncharacterized. The record is from RefSeq and is a predicted model, not a curated record. Lineage: Eukaryota; Viridiplantae; Streptophyta; Magnoliopsida; Malpighiales; Euphorbiaceae. The transcript is spliced from 3 exons.
GUGGUGGCUCCUGUGAGCUAUGGAGAUGGUUCAACUUCCAGAGGCUUCCUCAUAAAUUUUUGGAAUUUUUGAGACACAGAUAAACUUCGGGUGAUCGAGAUCAACUAUUUUCCUGCAUCCAGCAGCCACAAUAGUCGACGGUGUACUGCCACAGGAGGAGUUAUUUUACAGAGCAACCUGUUUUCUUCCUCGCAGGUUUAACGUCAAUUAUUUAAUUGUUUUACUAUCUUUUAUAAAUUAAAAAUCUAGAACUCCGCAUGUGUUAGAAAUAGUGUGGACCUUGGUAGAGGUUGUGUUAACUUAAAUUUUUAAGAUUAAUAAAUGAAGAUUUGUAUGGUAUUUAAA